Elgaria multicarinata webbii is the source of this 696-nucleotide long non-coding RNA. RefSeq lists it as uncharacterized. NCBI's taxonomy places the organism in Eukaryota, Metazoa, Chordata, Lepidosauria, Squamata, Anguidae. The record is from RefSeq and is a predicted model, not a curated record. The transcript is spliced from 5 exons.
ACAGCAGAGCAAGGAAAGUGUUCCUCUCGGUUAAGUACAUCCUCCUCGUUUGUAUAAAUUUGGGAAACAGAUACCUGCAGACGCUAUUUCUAGGUCCUAGAAACCAAUGUUGCCUUGCCAUCAGAGCCAUUUCUCACCAAGAGGAAGUUGCUGAUUGCAGACGAAAGGCCAGAAUGGCACCUCAGAACGUCCCUCUUUACUUCUGGGACAACUCACUGGCGUGUGGCUCCUAAGGGACGAUCCCGGAAGUGGAAAACUCUAUGAUCCUCCCUCCAAAGGGCUGCAGGUUUUUUUCCAGAAGCUCCUCUUCAGCCUGACUGCCUUGUGGAUCACCCUUGGUUUGUGCCAUGGAUCCUGCUUCAUGAACCAACUGGAACCAACGAUAAUCAAUGGUGUGAUGGUGAUGCCAAAUGGGUGCAUCGAUUCUUAUGACGGUAGAAGACAUUCAUUCAGGUCUAAGUGGAAUUCAGGUCAUUGCCUUGAAUGCUAUUGUGAGCGGACAGAGAUACGCUGCUGUACCAGGCCUGCUGGUGUUGCAUAUAUUGAAGGCUGCACUGGAAUGGUAGAUCCAGAAACGUGUCAACAUAGGUUCCACAAGAUUAAUGACCCCACAAAGCCAUGUUUCAUCUAAGCAUUUUUUAUUUUUAUUUUUAAAAAUAAAAACCUAACCCAUUCCUUUCACGUAGAACUUUAAUA